UACGUAGGGUGCAAGCGUUGUCCGGAAUUAUUGGGCGUAAAGGGCUCGUAGGCGGUCCGUCACGUCGGGAGUGAAAUCCUGGGGCUUAACCCCAGAACUGCUUCCGAUACGGGCAGACUAGAGGUAGGUAGGGGAGAAUGGAAUUCCUGGUGUAGCGGUGGAAUGCGCAGAUAUCAGGAGGAACACCAGUGGCGAAGGCGGCUUGCUGGGCCGGACCUGACGCUGAGACGCGAAGGCGUGGGGAGCGAACGGG
This 253-nucleotide ribosomal RNA is filed under the name uncultured bacterium. RNAcentral describes it as "partial 16S ribosomal RNA". It matches the Rfam family "Bacterial small subunit ribosomal RNA", at positions 524 to 776 of the family's 1533-position model. The record is from RNAcentral.